RNAcentral lists this transfer RNA (73 nucleotides) under Cricetulus griseus (Chinese hamster). It matches the Rfam family "tRNA". Rfam says of the family: Transfer RNA (tRNA) molecules are approximately 80 nucleotides in length. Their secondary structure includes four short double-helical elements and three loops (D, anti-codon, and T loops). The record is from Rfam by way of RNAcentral. Lineage: Eukaryota; Metazoa; Chordata; Mammalia; Rodentia; Cricetidae.
UACUAUCUAGCUCAGUCGGUAGAGCAUGAGACUCUUAAUCUCAGGGUCGUGGGGUCAUGCCCCAUGUUGGGUG